This 70-nucleotide transfer RNA is filed under the name Chalcorana megalonesa. RNAcentral describes it as "Hylarana megalonesa tRNA-Val". It matches the Rfam family "tRNA". Rfam says of the family: Transfer RNA (tRNA) molecules are approximately 80 nucleotides in length. Their secondary structure includes four short double-helical elements and three loops (D, anti-codon, and T loops). Further hydrogen bonds mediate the characteristic L-shaped molecular structure. tRNAs have two regions of fundamental functional importance: the anti-codon, which is responsible for specific mRNA codon recognition, and the 3' end, to which the tRNAs corresponding amino acid is attached (by aminoacyl-tRNA synthetases). tRNAs cope with the degeneracy of the genetic code in two manners: having more than one tRNA (with a specific anti-codon) for a particular amino acid; and 'wobble' base-pairing, i.e. permitting non-standard base-pairing at the 3rd anti-codon position. Lineage: Eukaryota; Metazoa; Chordata; Amphibia; Anura; Ranidae. The record is from RNAcentral.
CAAAAUGUAGUUUAACCAAAUCUCCUCGCUUACACCGAGACAAUAUCUGUUUGAAUCAGAUCAUUUUGAG